ACAGCCAUAUCACCCUGCAGCCCAAGACUGGUUGCCCACUGAAGCUAAGCAGGGUUGAGACUGGUCAGUACCAGGAUGGGAGACCUUCUGGGAAAACUAGGUUGCUGUUGGAA
Ribosomal RNA from Sinocyclocheilus grahami, 113 nucleotides. The record is from Ensembl. NCBI's taxonomy places the organism in Eukaryota, Metazoa, Chordata, Actinopteri, Cypriniformes, Cyprinidae.